UAAGAAGAAGAAGAGGUGUCGGAGGAAGAAGAUUCUGCUCGCAUCCUUGACUCGUGCCAGUGACCUGAGUGACGUCAUGCGUAUGUCAACGGGGAGAGUCAGCAGCGACCGACGUCGGGGAUCGCACUCCACGCUGUACCGCAAUGGUUAUAUAUAGCCAAGCUGUGGUCCCAUUUUAUUACGUUUGGUUUUUUUCGUCUCGGAGUUAUUCGGCCUUUCCAAACGAAGAUGUGUGCCACAAAUGGUAGAGCAGAGAAGGCUCUCGAGUUAACCGUGUGAGUCGGUCGAACGUGGUAUGAGUGAGAAUAUUUCUGCAUUUUGCAGAGCUGCCAUUUGGUCGCCAUUGCUCAUGGCGAGCUUGGUUCGAUAUGAGGAUUCCGAGAGUGGCGAUUCUGAAGCGGAUGCCGUCGAGACACAUUUUCCUCGGGCUGCCUUGUCAUCACCCUCCUCUCCUUGUCGUAACAAGGCACGGGUUUCUGCAUCGCGUUCGGUUUCCCGCUCUCCCUCACGCUCUUAUGGCCACAAGCAUAACAGCAGACAGAGUGGCACAAGGCGGACGAGCCGCAGUAAGGAGGCCAGCAGGAGGACAGGAGGUGGGGAGAAGGACAAGGAGAGGUUAAGAUAUUCACACAGGGAAAGAGACAGGCAUCGUGAUAAACACUACAGAGACAGAGACAGAGACAGGCACAGAUCACGUAGUCAGAAUCGAAGGUCCAGAUCAAGGGUGCAUAGGUCAAAGUCUGUCCAUCGACAUUCAAAACCACGUAAGGCACGCUCUCACCAUCACCAUCACCACCAUCACCACCGCCAUCACAGCAGCAGCCGGUCUCCUUCUUCCCCAUCUCCUCAUGCAUCUCCUUCUCCCAAAGCUUCAUUGGUUCAAAACUCCUCUUCUCCUUCUCCUCCUGCUACAGCCCCUCCACCUGCAGCAAAACGUGUUCGACAGUCAAGGUAACUAACUACACCUUGGUUUUGUUUUCAAAAGUAACAUGCAUUUCAUAGAGUAAUUUAACAGUUAAAAUUUGAUUUCGACGAAUGUACAUACUUCACUUGUCUUUUGUCGAGAUCCAUUGUAUUUCAUGAUUUAUGUCCGUGUCUCCAUCUCGAUCUGGUUCUCACUCUCACUAUAUCUCUAUCUGGUUCUCACUCUCACUAUAUCUCUAUCUGGUUCUCACUCUCACUAUAUCUCUGGGGGGGGGGGGGGGGGGGGGGGGG
Molecule: long non-coding RNA, 1215 nt
Filed under: Eptatretus burgeri (inshore hagfish)
Lineage: Eukaryota; Metazoa; Chordata; Myxini; Myxiniformes; Myxinidae
Description: lncRNA (ENSEBUG00000017179.1)
Source: RNAcentral